RNAcentral lists this ribosomal RNA (363 nucleotides) under Parasovia perbella. Its description in RNAcentral is "SSU rRNA". It matches the Rfam family "Eukaryotic small subunit ribosomal RNA", at positions 1162 to 1514 of the family's 1831-position model. Lineage: Eukaryota; Metazoa; Arthropoda; Insecta; Lepidoptera; Hesperiidae. The record is from RNAcentral.
GGGCACCACCAGGGGCUGCUGCUGCGACUUAUUUGACUCAACUCGGGGAAUCUCACCAGGCCCGGACACCAGAAGGAUUGACAGAUUAACAGCUCUUUCUUGAUUCGGUGGGUGGUGGUGCAUGGCCGUUCUUAGUUGGUGGAGCGAUUUGUCUGGUUAAUUCCGGUAACGAACGAGACUCUAGCCUGCUAAAUAGGCGUCCCCAUUUUGGUGUGCUCGAGUUCGGUCGUGCAACUCACUGGCGACGUAUUAAAAUUCUUCUUAGAGGGACCGGCGGCUUCGACCCGCACGAGUUUGAGCAAUAACGGGUCUGUGAUGCCCUUAGAUGACCUGGGCCGCACGCGCGCUACACUGAAGGAAUCA